Molecule: ribosomal RNA, 465 nt
Filed under: uncultured Klebsiella sp.
Lineage: Bacteria; Pseudomonadati; Pseudomonadota; Gammaproteobacteria; Enterobacterales; Enterobacteriaceae
Description: bacterial SSU rRNA
Rfam family: Bacterial small subunit ribosomal RNA
Source: RNAcentral
CCUACGGUGCGCUGCAGUGGGGAAUAUUGCACAAUGGGCGCAAGCCUGAUGCAGCCAUGCCGCGUGUGUGAAGAAGGCCUUCGGGUUGUAAAGCACUUUCAGCGGGGAGGAAGGCGUUAAGGUUAAUAACCUUGGCGAUUGACGUUACCCGCAGAAGAAGCACCGGCUAACUCCGUGCCAGCAGCCGCGGUAAUACGGAGGGUGCAAGCGUUAAUCGGAAUUACUGGGCGUAAAGCGCACGCAGGCGGUCUGUCAAGGCGGAUGUGAAAUCCCCGGGCUCAACCUGGGAACUGCAUUCGAAACUGGCAGGCUAGAGUCUUGUAGAGGGGGGUAGAAUUCCAGGUGUAGCGGUGAAAUGCGUAGAGAUCUGGAGGAAUACCGGUGGCGAAGGCGGCCCCCUGGACAAAGACUGACGCUCAGGUGCGAAAGCGUGGGGAGCAAACAGGAUUAGAUACCCCAGUAGUC